GACGAACGCUGGCGGCGUGCUUAACACAUGCAAGUCGAACGGAAAGGCUCUGCUUUUGAGGGCUGCUCGAGUGGCGAACGGGUGAGUAACACGUGAGUAACCUGCCCUUGACUUUGGGAUAACUUCAGGAAACUGGGGCUAAUACCGGGUAGGAGCUCCUGCUGCAUGGUGUGGGUUGGAAAGUUUCGGCGGUUGGGGAUGGACUCGCGGCUUAUCAGCUUGUUGGUGGGGUAGUGGCUUACCAAGGCUUUGACGGGUAGCCGGCCUGAGAGGGUGACCGGCGACAUUGGGACUGAGAUACGGCCCAGACUCCUACGGGAGGCAGCAGUGGGGAAUAUUGCACUAUGGGCGGAAGCCUGAUGCAGCAACGCCGCGUGCGGGAUAACGGCCUUCGGGUUGUAAACCGCUUGCGCAUGUGACGAAGCGUGAGUGACGGUAAUGGGUAAAGAAGCACCGGCUAACUACGUG
RNAcentral lists this ribosomal RNA (468 nucleotides) under uncultured bacterium. Its description in RNAcentral is "partial 16S ribosomal RNA". It matches the Rfam family "Bacterial small subunit ribosomal RNA", at positions 28 to 507 of the family's 1533-position model. The record is from RNAcentral.